RNAcentral lists this long non-coding RNA (341 nucleotides) under Zonotrichia albicollis (white-throated sparrow). Its description in RNAcentral is "lncRNA (ENSZALG00000004503.1)". Lineage: Eukaryota; Metazoa; Chordata; Aves; Passeriformes; Passerellidae. The record is from RNAcentral.
UCCUCAGGAAUUCCUCCUGGAAUCCCUCCUGAAACCCUCCGGAAUUCCAGCUGGAAUCCCUCCCAGGAUCCUUGGGAAUCCCUCCUGAAACCCUCCGGAAUUCCAGCUGGAAUCUCUCACAGGAUCCUCAGGAAUCCUUCCUUGGAAUCCCUCAGAAUCCCAGCUGGAAUCCCUCACUGGAUCCUUGAAAAUCCUCCCUGGAAUCCUCAGGAAUCCUGGUUGGAAUCCCCUGUGGAGUCCCCAGGAAUCCUGUCUGGGUUUCCCCCUGGAAUCCUCAGGAAUCUCCCCUGGAAUCCCUACUGGGAUUCCCUGGGAAUUGCUCCUCGAGUCCUUGGAAUCCC